Chrysemys picta bellii (western painted turtle) is the source of this 11591-nucleotide non-coding RNA. The record is from RefSeq and is a predicted model, not a curated record. NCBI's taxonomy places the organism in Eukaryota, Metazoa, Chordata, Testudines, Emydidae.
UACUCGACUGUAUGGUGAAAUCUAGAUUACAAUUUGCCUUUACUUCCUGAAAUCACACAGAUAAAUGCUCCAGUAGUUAACUACGUUGGAUUUGCAGUAAGUGUUUUGGUCUGCUAUCAGAUUCUGUUAGGUGGCACAUAGAUUCCUGCCUUGCAGCUAGCAUCAUUUCAGGAGGUAUCUUGAAAGAUUUCGGGCUCUUCCAAUUAUGGCUUUGCUUUUCUCUCACAGCAAUUAAAGUCCCUUCCUUUAAUUUCAAUGGAAACUGUAGUGUUUUAGACCUUGCCCAUGCAGCUGAAUGCUCAUCUCUGGAUCUUAUUUCCAGCCCUCAUAAGGCCUGGGUUUGAUGACCUAGUCUGAUUACAGGAUCUUUGACAGCUUUAAAGGAAUUUGCACAAAGGAAGGAGACAGCUGCUGUUCUGAUGAAGGAUUUUUCUGAGCAGGCCUCCCAAGCUAGACGUGCCACUAUGAGAUGCUGCCUACGCUUUUCAUCAUGAGCAACAGGUGACUAAUCUGCAAUCAGAAACACUUAGCAGGAAUGGAUCAGUCGCUGUUAUGAAGUUUGAGCUUAUAGCAUUUUUUCAUGCUGGAAUGCGAGGGCUAAGAAUGUGUUGACACAGUGCAAUUGAGGACUUCCAGACACAGUGAAAUCCUUGCAAGAGACAUCAGAGAGUGGAUUGGCAGAGUUUUAGAAGCCUGGCAGCUGUUAGCCUGCUGCAGCAUGAGGAAGAGUCUUCAGUCUCUCCAAUGUACAGGAAAGAGAAGACGAAUUGUAGUAAAUGUCCACCUUCGAUACUGAGGAAAAGGCCACCCGUGAACCAAGCUGUGAGCGAAAAGCGAAAAGCAGAGAGAAGGGUUCGAUUUCGUGAGCCAGAGAUCACUGGAUAUGACAUUUCCUGCUGGGACUACAGAGUUGCACAUGACAGGCCAUCAGCUGGAUUGCCUUUGCUCCUGUGGAUUUCGCUUUGUUUAGUGCUGAUCCUGGCUGUGAGUCUGUACUACAGCAGCGUGAAGCAGAAUUUCCAAGUCUUGGAAGAAUUUCAAUCCCAGCUCGUUAUCUUCUUUCUUCAGAUAAGACGCGUUGCUUUGAAAUGCUGGACUUGGUUUAUGAGGCAAUAACAGUGUCACACGUGUGGAAUUGUGCAUGGCCAAGACAAAGAUCUUAGCAGAUAACAUCUAAACGUAUAUUGCAGCACAAGGCUCACAGCCCACUCAAACCAAACACCAGAGAAUGCGCCAGCCUUCCCUUUGAAGACUAAUAGAGCUGACCCUGUUGUACAUUUACCUUUUCCUGUAGCCACUUGUUUUCCAUUUCUUUUAUUAUUAUUGUAUAUAUUACACUAACACCUAGAGGUUGCAACCAAAAUCAGAGCUCCAUUGUCCUAGGCAAUACAUAAAUAUCUGAUAAGAGAUAGUCCCUGCCUCAGAGAGCUUAUAAACUGAAGAAACAAGAAAAAGCAAAGGGACAGAAACACAGAGAUUAAUUGAUUCAAUCAAGGUCACAUAGGUAGAUAAUACCAGGAACUAAACCCAGGUCAAUCAAGUCUCAGGUCAGUAGCUUAAUCACAAGACCAUCAUUCCACUCUGGUUUUGCUACUGCAAUGUGUGCAAGUAUUACUUCUUGUGUUUGAGGGCUCUGCAAUGCUGUAUUUUACACAUAUGUGAAAUGAUUGGGAGUAAAACCUUGGCAGAUGGUGUUCUCAUUUCCCCUCAAGCUUUCUCCUAUGUGGGCAAAAGAUAGCUCUUGGAAACGUUUCACCGGGCUCCCAGGCAUGGAAGAGAGAAUGGAAACUCAUUUAAACAGGCUAUGGUUAUUUGCUUAAUAUCACACAUAACAGAAUUGAAUCCCAGGUUAAUUAUCAAGUCAGUAGUUUAAUCCUAUGAGUUUGAUUCAGUCCGUAAACCUCAUGAGCCAAGUUUACAUGGUUUGUGACAUCAACAAACUUUUUCAAUUUACUUAUAGCUUGUAUUCAGUCAGGGGGCCAUGUAUUCAUUCCAUGCAUGCUCAACUAUAGUUUAAGGCUUUGCAUAAUGCUACAGUUGAGUGUUUAUGAAGGUAGCAAGGAUAAAGCUCCAUUGUUUUGGGAGGCCCCCCCAUUAAUAUCCUACAGUAAAGAUAUUUCUGAAGGGGAUCAUUUUAACAAUGAUAGUGCAAUAAAUGCUGAAUGCCUCUUGUAUGUGUCAAAGUGGACCCCAAUGUGUCUAUCCAAGUGUGUCUCAGAGAGGGCCAACAAAUUAAUCUGGCCUAUGAGCACUAGCUUCCUGGACUUUAUUUUCUCCAUAGGCAUAAAUAGCAACAUCCUUUUUUGCCUGGCCUUCUUUUCAAGUAAAAUUAAAAGAAAAUAUUUUGACAAGUGCCCUACUGUAUUCAGAAAGAUAAAGACUACCUGAGAAUCUGCAACAGCAGAAAAAACCCUGUGAAGAAGAUGGAAGACAAUGCUUGCAAGAUCCCAAAGUCCCCUGUCAUGACAACCAACAAAACACUGUGCAUAUUAUUGUUGACGGAUAAAGAAUAUUCCAUAUGGUAUUGAGGGGCAACAGCACAUCAUCUUCCAGGCAACUUAAAGUAGGCAAAGAAUUAAAUAGGAACAGGGAGAAGCAAUCUUUUCUCCUAAGGAAUGUAUGCCUCGUCUCAAUUGAAAAUGGAUGAAACCAACUACGGUAUUGAGCCUCAAAAGCAGAAAGAGGGGACUUCAGCAGCUAAUCUGAUGCUCACCAUAGGCUGUGACAGGCCCAUGGGCAAUUGCAUCAGACAAGCUGCCAAUUUGGGGGUCAAAGGAUGUUCACAUAGGUGUAUUCAUCCCUGUGACUUUUUACACAAACCAAUUGUGUGGUUCAGUCUAAUGGGAGUAAGUUGUACCAUCGCCUUGCUCCCCGUUUCCUUUUUUUAAGUAAUAAGGUGAGAGAUUUAUAACUUUUAUGUGAGUGACUCAUUAAAACAUUUCUUGAGAAAGGUUAGGAAAUGGUAUAUUAGUGAGAUGAGCACUAACCUUCAACCCCUCCCUCUGUCUACACAGAUGUGACUGAUCCCUGUUUAGCUCACCUUUUCUGGAGCUGAAUUGUAAUUUCUGGAAGAGGCACACUGAAAACAGGGAGCUUGUUUUGAAAGGGCAGUUUGUUCAGCAAGAGCCAUGGCGUAGUACUGCAGGAAAUACAUACAGCAACUUCAAUGGUCUGGGAGGGGACGUGCUAGCUUGUACCACCCUGAUAUGCUAAUGUAAUGCUUUACACUUUAAACAAAUGUUAAGAAGAUAAAAUGGCAACUCCAGAAUAAGGAUUGGAAAAGACAAGAAGCAGGGAUGAAAUCCACAUUUAAUAGCAUGCUAUUUACAAGAAGGAAACCGCCUUUAAAACUGGUCUAAAAAUGUUUGAGGUCAGUUAUACAUAACAGAUUAUCUCAGUCUCAAACAAAUUGUAUUCAGUAUGUAUUUUAGGCCUUUGAAAUUAUUUAAACCUAAUCCACUUCCUGUGAGGGAAGUGGUAUUAUCCUCAUUUUACAGCAGAAGUCUCAGAUAAACCUAAUGACCUGCCCAAGUUAAGACAGCAAGUCAGUAACAGAGCCAGGAAUCUCUGAUCCCACAACUCCUUGCUCCCAAAUCUCCUGACCACAAAUCUCCUGGAAUAUUUGAACCUCUGAAAGUUAGACAGGUCAUUAACUUGGGCACCCAAAUCUCUUGGUUAACCACUAGACCAUACUUCCCCUCUGCUGUUAUCCCUUCUAUUUUCUCCUCACACAUAAGCUGAUGCCCAAUCCAUUCAUUCCCUCAGACAUUCUCUCACACACACACAUUGUCUGACUCACUUGUUUAUUCUCUUACUAUUCUUUAUUCAUCACCAGAUGUACUUGCACCAUUGUUAACUGGACUGGAAUCUUCGUUGUUAAUGUUAGAUGGAUUGGUGUCAAAAGGUGAAGAGUAACAGGACAUAAAAUCAGAAAAGCAAAAAGGUGCCAGGCAGUCACAGGACAAAGGUCAUGAUGGGUUGUAUUCUUCUUGAGGAUUGUAACAAAAUACGUGAUUUAUUAGAAAUUGUCAAAACUUUUCAUAUUAAUUUAAUUCCUUGUGAGAACUUGCUGAGAUUGCAUGAAGUCAGCAAUGUAACCAAUAGACCAAUAUGGUUCGCGAGAUAAAUCAGGGGUUCCCAAUAUUUUUCAUAGUUAGGACCACGUUAGUAGACAGAUUGGGUAGCAGGCUUUCUGUCUGCAACUGUAUGAACUGUCUCAUCUCCCCUUGAUGAGUGCAUAUCCCUUAUGUCACUACUAUAGCAGUUGCUUACCUGGAAACAUAAUACUAGGAGAACACCUAUGGAUUGUGACCUCGGGAGUAUCUGAAGGAAUGAGAUGAGACCACAUAGUCUAAAAAUCCAACAAACUUUUGAUGCAUCACAAGCCGUAACACAGCAAUGUCUACCCCCUGUAGAGCUGGUAACAGGCAACCCCACCCACCAAACAAACAUUUAGUUUUAAUCCUGUUCUCUCAGCUUUCUCUUUCAAACCACACCCACUUGCAGCCCAGCUAAUGGGAGACAGGCAGCCCAUUACAGUCAUUUUAGUUGUCAUUUAAUGCCAUGUUAGCACUUGGAAAGAGAUGCCAGCACCAUGCGAGAGGACAGCUCUCUCAGAAGAAUUAUCAAGUGUUCUGUGAAUAACAGUUGAGGAACCUCUGAGGUAAAUAACAAGCAUUCUUUAAAUGGACUAGUUCCUUACUAAUUCACUAUCCCAGAAUAGCCCUGGCUCUCAGCAACCAUUGAACACACCAUGCAGGGCAGCAUACCCAUUUAUUUACUUUAUUUAUGCCGCAAAGAGAAAAUCAACUUGUCGUGGUUCAGAUUCUGGGCCUGCCUCAAGCAGGAAGGUGAUACCACUAUGAUACUUAGUAAGUGGUUGGUCCUCCAUGGUAUAUAGAAAUCACAGCAUCCUUUCCUCAUCAGCUACACUUACAGGGCACCCAUGACUGGAUUGGAACUGAAAGGACCCACGGUUGGUGGACUGAAUCCUGGAUGCUGCUGUUUUUUAAUGAUAGCCCCCCACCACUGGACGUGGCAUUUCUACCUCAGCUAUAUGACUGGGAUGCAAGUUUUUCUCAGCUGAAAUGGGUCCCGGUGAAAGAUCAGGUAAUGCAGUUUGCAAAGGCUUCCAACAGUUUGUAGGGGGGAAUGAAAAUACUCUCAUAGGUCAGGAAGGCUAACAGGAGUCACCAGCAGUAAUACUGAAGCUUCGCAAUGAGGACAGGGAGCCAGACAGUGGAAAUGACACAUACAGAAUGAGUACAAUAUUAGCAAUAGGAAUCUAAAACAUGUACUGCUAGCAAGGAUCAUGUUGUCCUUAUCAGACAGGCAGAUUACACAGAUAGGCUGCAAACACUGCAGGCCAGAAUCUCAGCUACUAUAAACUAGGAUCUCUCUUUUGACUCUUGGAGCUCACUAGCUGAGAAUAAGGCCCUACAGUAAAAUUAUUCCAGUAGAAGUUCAAAAGACAGGCAUGAAAAGACUGAAUUUUCAAAUAAUUUAUUUGUGUAUAGCACUAAAUCAUAAAAGCGCAAUGCACGGUCCAGCAAAAAGCAUUCAAUAUAAAAACACGUUCAUUCAAUAUCAAUAAUACUGGAGCACAUUAGUUACACUGAACCCAAUCCUGCUCCCCUCACAGCCAGUGCAAAUUUUGCCAGUGAUUUCGCUGGCAGAAGGAUCAGGCUCAUUCUUUCCAUUUUGCCAAAUGUUUAUAAAGUAUUCUAUUAAAAUGCUAGUAACUGAUUUUCCAUAUGUAAGUAAACUGCAUCCCUUUCACUACUGCAUAAAAACAAUAAUGAACAUUAUUCAGACUCUGCGGUUCUGUGAAAUUGCAUGCAGUUUAUCCCCCAAAUCAGCAGUUAAUAAACACAGCAAUAGAUAGCAUAACGCAUGAGUGCUAAUAUUUAAAAUACACUGGGCCAUAUCCUCAGUUGAUGUAAACAGGCAUGGCUCCAAUGAUGUACAUGGAGCUAUGCCACAUACCCCAGUUAAGGAUCUGGCCCGCUCUUGGUUUUAGAGAUUAAAAGAAUUAUGAAAACUGUUAAAAUUGUGUCCUAAAGAAUCUAUUGCACAGACCUCUGUAGCAGGAAAAAAUAAUGUUCAUCUAGGCUCUCAUAAAGCUUUCUCCAAGUGGAUACAAGAAAAGAAGAGACAAUAGUUCACAAAUAUGUAAAUCACAGGACAUCUAUUUAGAAGAGGUUCAGAUGCAUUCAGGCUUUGCAUUAAACGAAAAGUAAAGGUACACUUUCAAUCUCUGCAGGCAGUAACAUACUAAAGACACAGCCUUUAAAUCUACAAUGACCUUGUUAACGUUCUCCCUUUAAUAAUGGCAAAUUUGCAGUGAUUUUGGAACACUCACUCUGUUUUACCUCACAAAUCACCAGCUACACAGGGGAAAGGCCCAGUCGUACAUUAUUUCUUAUACUUUGAAAUGCCAAAGUUAAAGGCACAGCUUUCAGAAUCAAUCAGAGAGAUAUUUCAGUUUGCUCACUCAGAAAAAAAUUGGGUGUUAUAUCGACCUAAGCACUUUUACACCAGUAUAACUGUGUCUAUACUAGGGGGUCAAGCUGCUAUAGUUAAAGCCCUACAAAAGCUGAGAGUAGACCAGCACAUUUCUCAAAAAGACUUGUUUCACCUGCAGUAUGGAAAGCUAUAACCAACACUGAUCACAUGGGCAACGCUAAGACUAAAGUGACUGCUACUUUUGGCUACUUAGAGACUGAAGAACUGGGGCCUUCAUGCUUUGAACAUGAAUGUUUAAAUUCCUCAUGUGAAAUACAUUAACAACUUUCUUUGCUAUCCACUUGCAUUCUGAUUUAUGUGGAUGCUGAAUUCUCCAGUUCCCAUGAGCGGUCCCUGUCUCAAAUAGACACAAAGGAAUAAGGAUUGAGUGGUUCUAUAAUGUUAGUACAACUCUUUAUGGUCUGUUGUGCACUCUAAAGUUUGCAGGGAUGUCUUGAGGAUGAAAUGAGCCAGGAGAAGAGGUCAGUGGUAUUGUGGGUUUUUUUUUUAUAAACCUGCAGAAACCUUUUAGCCCUGUGCUGUAGAUCACACUAUUGAUUUCUAAAUUGCACAGUUUCAGUUGGGAAACAGAGUAUAAGUUUGGUUCACUGAUUAGAGUAACAUCAAUUAGACGGCAGUAGAGCCAAAUCUUCUUUGCAGCCUAACACCCAUGAGGUAUCCUCAGGAUCAACAGCCAAACCCCUUUUGUUUUCCUGCCCUAUUUAAAUGGGUUUCCUUUGCAAUACCAUCAUUGUGCAGUGGUUAUGACCUCCAAUGCAGUCUUUUCUCCCCAUAGGGAUGCUAUUCAGCAGGAGCUGUUCAAAGUCAUUUGCAAGAGGAUUUUGAUGACCAUGGUAUAACAAGAAGAGUAUAUUCAGCUCUGAGGGGCUUGAUCAUGCACCAGGGAAGUCAAUGUUUAACGGUGAGAGUUAAAACCAUUGGAACACUUUACCAAGGGAAGCAGCUAAUUCAUCAUCAAGUCCAGAUAUCUUCCUAAAAGAUAGGCUUUAGUUCGUGCACAAGUUAUUGGACUUGAUAGCGUUCAUGUACUUAGUAGGGAAGAAUAAUUGAUUCUCCUGCUGGAAUUACAGGGUGAAAUUCUAUGGACUUCAUGAUGAAGGAGAUCAUGCUAGAUGAACCUUUAAGGCUAGGUUUACACUACAAGCUAGGGGUGUGGCUCCCCUGCUCAUUGAGCUAGUGGGCGUAUUAAGAGCAGUGUAGCCAUGGUAGUACAGGUAGCAGUAGUGGCAGCGUAGGCAUGACUUAGCCGUGCCGAGUACAUACCCAGCCUCCGCUGCUACUACCUAUGCUACUGUAGCUACACUAAAUACUCUUGCGAGCUCAAUGAGGGCUAGUGUGAGUAUGUGUACACAAGCAGGGGAAUCAGACCCCUAGCUCAUAGUGUAGACAUAGCCAAAAUAGAUGGGUCAACUAUUCCACUAGCCUAACUCCUUUGACUUCACUGGAGGUAUGCCAGCAGAGAAUUUGGCCCCAAUGGAUCUAUGAAUGUGCUUUUUACAGUUAACUUCAAUAAGAACAGCUUUGGGGCUUUUAUGAAAGAACUGGGGAAUUUUUCAAAAGAGCCUAAGUAAAAUAGGAGCCUAUGCCUCAUUUUCAAAAGUGACUGGCUUAGGAGCCAAAGUUUCACUGGAUGUCAAUGAGAUUUAACUCAUCUUGAAAAAUAGGACUUAGUUGGAUCUUUUUGAAAAUUGGAGCCAUGAUGCUUUAAACAGUUAUAGUAGCUAUUAGAGGUAGAAAUAUUUAAGAGUCGGGGUAUUUACAUUCACACUAAUUCAAUAUCACUUUAAACACAAUCUUUUGUCCAGACAUAAGAUACUCAAGAGCUUCAUUUAACAGAAUUCUACGAGAAAGCACUAUUGUACAAAUACUUCUCCCAAUAUUAGAAUAAAGAGCAGCAGUGCAAGUAGGGUGGCCCGAUCCGGUACACUGUACUAGCAAGAUAUUUAUAGUUGGUACAGUGUACCGGACAGAGGAGCAGAACGUGCAGUGGCCCACGCCUGCAGCACUUCCGGUGCAGCUGUACUGCCCCCAGCCCUUCCACGCAGGGUCUCCUCGGUCCGUAGAGCAGCCCCGCCGGAGGUCAGGGCUGGAGGCGGCCUGGGGGCGGUACAGCUGCGCCAGAGGAGCUGCUGGUGUGGGGCUACCCGGUGGCCCCACAUUCUGCUCCUUUCCCUGCUGUGGUUCCUAGGAGAGCCCUGCGGUUCAGGGCUCUCCCGGGAACCGCAGCGGGGAAAGGAGCAAAGCCCCCACCUCUGCCCCCUGCCCUUCCGUGGAACUGUGUCCCCUCCGGCUCCCAGUAGCAGCUAUGCUGGAGGACAGGGCUGUGGGGGGUGAGGCUGGAGGCAGUACAGCCGCCGGAUGAGCUGCCAUCAUUCUGCUCCUUUUCCCGCUGCAGUUCCUGGGAGAGCCCUGAAUUGCCAGGCUCUCCUGGGAACCGCAGUGGGAAAAGGAGCAGAACAUGGGGCCACAGGGCGGCCCCAUGCCAGCACCUCCUCCGGAGCAGCUGCUGUACCGCCGCCAACCCCAGUCCUGUCCUCCAGCAGGGCUGGCUGCUGAACAAACGGAUGAGACCCUGCAUGGAAGGACUGGGGCAGUACAGCCGCAUCGGCGGAGCUGUGGGCAUGGGGCCACUGGGCGGCCCCACCAUCUGCUUCUCCUGCGGUAAGAGGGUUGGAUCAUGGGGAGGGGAUGGGGGCCCCAGACUGGGGGUGGGUGGAGGGAGGAGUCACAUGAGGAGGUCACGUGCCCCCCGUGGUACCCCUCCCCCCAUACCAGUAAGAAAUGGAUUCCACUUGCAACACUGAUAAAGAGGCAUUAUCAAUCAGCCAGCUUUAUGGCUACAUUGCAAUACAUACAUUGUGCAAUAAAUUAGGUGAAUGUACAUUGCAGGUUAUGCAUUUCAGACACCAUGAUUAGGAUUUUUGAGUGACUGAAAUGAUUGCUUGAUCCUUUUGUGCCUGGAAUAAAUCAGAGGGUUGUCCUUCUCCAUAAAGCGUUAGGAUCAAAAUAAUUUAUCAGGGUUUGGUCACUCUAAAAAAAAUAUAAGUGUUUAUGAGCUGUGUGUCUCCCUGUGAAGGCUGAAAUAUGUUGCAGAAGAAAUUUACUCUUUCUAAAGGAGGAAAAGCAUGGGAAUGCAGUGUAUUUUGGCCUUGAGGAAAUCAGGGAUAAAAAUCAUUUUAAAACAAGAUUUCCAACAUUGUUAGGUACAUGUGCCUUUUCUCAUUGUGUGCAAAGUAGAAACUGAAUGUGCAUGAACUGGUAUUCCUCUUAGAACAAACUUUAAAAAGGGCACUGCAGUCUCUAGGGUUUUUGCCUGUAGAACAAACAGCCUAAUUAGACAAAAUAGAACAUUUCCAUCAGCAAAGAUUAGUGAUUGGGCAGCCCUAGCUGCAGAUUUCAGAUCUUCAUCCAAAUAUAAACUUUCCUCUGAGUUCAAGCAUGUUCACUUCCAGGGCUCUGAUUUGGAAAUAGAGACAAAGUUUAAUCAAACCCCAAACUAAAUCUGCAUAAGAGAAUGUAAUUCUGACCCAUUUGUAUGAUCAGCCAAAUUGUCUCUUGUUAUACAUAAAGGAGAACCCAUUCAAGCAGCUGUGAGUGAUUUACAUAGAAUGUUUGGGAUGCAAACAUUCUAGGAGAGGAAUUAUAAACAAGGUGUUUGUAUACAGCAUACCACCCCAUACACCAAAAUGCACGUGAUUUGUAUUAAAUAGUCUGCAGAUCAUUCUGGUUUGGAGGUUUCUCAUUUUAAACUGUACUUUACAAAACUGUUAUGUGGAUUGAUGUGUUUAAAGACAAUGCAGAAAAUCAAUAUUUCACACAAUGUCAGUCUGUCAUUGAUUUCUUGCAUCUCAAAAAUCAGUAGAGGCUAACUGCUAGCAGCAGCACUGGGAAAUGAGUAUGGUAAAUCUGUAUAAAGAAGCAAGAAGUUCUGUGACUAGAAAUUCAAUAGAGGCUCAGUGUAACGGAGUCCAAUCCUGCCCUCCUUGUGCACUCAAUUAUCUUUCUCUAUCAAUGAGAGUUUUGAGUGCACUGAGACUGUAGGAUCAGGCUCGAUCCAAAGCCCAACGAAGGCAGUAGAAAACACUCCAGUGGAUUUCUGUUUUGGAUCAGGCCCUAAAUGAGUACUCUAAGAAAAACAAAUACAUUCAGAAAGGUCCUGAUAUCCCAGAUACCAUAUAAUUGGCCACCAGAGACUGACCAGCUUUCUCAUCCAUUUCAGUGACUUAGUACCAAAGCCCUUGUCAAUUUAACCAGAUAGUUGCAUAUAUGGCUCUGAAGGGGGAAACAAGUGUUCAAAUGCUUUUAAAUAUAAGUUGUCAGAUUCUCAGCUGGUGUAAAUCAACAUAGCUCUAUUGACUUCAAUGGAGCAACACCAAUUUACACCAGCUGGGGACCUGGCUUCUGAUUCUCAUCUAAUUGAAUUAAACCAAUGGGUUUUAAAAUUAAUUUCCCCCUCUACAGUCCUACCAGUGUGUAAUCGCAGUUUAUACAAAUCUUUCUUCCCUUCCUUGCAUUUACUUUUCUUCUCCAAUCAGUGGAUCAUUGUUGUUGUUUUUAACAUGCUAAUUGCUUUGGGUCUUACAUCAUUUGCUAGGCUGUUGCAGAAGAAGAAUCAGUUUUGACAAUUGAAGGAUUAAGGCUUUUAAGAAAAUAUACUUUAAGGUAUUUGUCACCUAUUUUGAAUAAGCAUUAAUUACUAUGUCCUAAUUAAUAGUAAUACUUCCAUCAAAGAGUUAAUAUGUGUCAAAGAGUCAAUGCACAUUUAUGUUACAUUAGGAACUUUGUUAAAAGGGAAUGUCAUCCUCCAGUCAUGUAGGAUUCCAAUGUAUUUCAGUCUACAAAAUGUAACACUUCAACAAGAUAGCAUAGUUAGAUGAAGGUAGGAGAUUAUACAAAGUAUAAACAGUAAUCCCUAAUACUCUGUAAGUGAGGAUAAACCUUGAGGGAUAGUGUGAUUGAUUACUACUUCCUAACAGUGAAAUUGUUUGAUAACACAUAGAGGCAUCCAUAUCCUAAGUGGCAUCAUGCAGAUAAGUAAGAAAGGGGAGAAGAAAAAAAAAAGGCAG